This is an RNA transcript of Marmota monax (woodchuck), 6446 nucleotides long. It is a transcript of the gene named ALG6 alpha-1,3-glucosyltransferase, with no coding region annotated. Lineage: Eukaryota; Metazoa; Chordata; Mammalia; Rodentia; Sciuridae. The transcript is spliced from 16 exons. The record is from RefSeq and is a predicted model, not a curated record.
CGGCGCGUGGGCGCGCGGAGGUAGAGAUUGGGAGCGAGCGCGCAGGCGCUUUCCGGAGGCCCCCUGCGGACGCGAAUCCCAGCGUCCGGCCGCCGCGGGCUACUUCACAGACAUUAUCAAUUUCUGACUGUUUGGAAGUGAAGCACCACUUAAAAUUGCUCCAACUCCUGAUUCCAAAGAAGUGGUAACUUUUUUCUGAUCAAGAAAAUAAGUGACUGACUCUGUAUUAUAAAUAUUCUGGAACUGGUUCUGUUUUCCUCCCUGAAUUUGGAGAACUAUGGAACAGUGGUCCUGGAUGACAGUAGUAGUCUUAAUAGGACUAACAGUACGAUGGACAGUUUCUCUUAAUUCUUAUUCAGGUGCUGGAAAACCCCCUAUGUUUGGUGAUUAUGAAGCUCAGAGACACUGGCAAGAAAUUACUUUUAAUUUACCGAUAAAACAAUGGUAUUUUAACAGCAGUGAUAACAAUUUACUGUAUUGGGGAUUGGAUUACCCACCUCUCACAGCUUAUCAUAGUCUCUUAUGUGCAUAUGUGGCAAAGCUUAUAAAUCCAGACUGGAUUGCUCUUCACACAUCACGUGGAUAUGAGAGUCAGGCACAUAAGCUCUUCAUGCGUACAACAGUUUUUAUUGCUGAUUUGCUGAUUUAUAUACCUGCAGUGAUUCUGUACUGUUGUUGUUUAAAAGCUAUCUCAACUAAGAAAAAGAUUGCUAAUGCAUUAUGCAUAUUACUGUAUCCAGGUCUUAUUCUCAUCGACUAUGGACAUUUUCAAUAUAAUUCUGUGAGUCUGGGCUUUGCUUUGUGGGGUGUUCUUGGAGUAUCUUAUGACUGGGACCUGCUAGGGUCUCUGGCAUUUUGUUUAGCUAUAAAUUAUAAACAGAUGGAACUUUACCAUUCCUUGCCAUUUUUUUGCUUUUUACUUGGCAAGUGUUUAAAAAAAGGCCUCAAAGGAAAAGGGUUCAGGUUGUUAGUUAAGCUAGCUUGUACCGUUGUGGCUUCAUUCAUUCUCUGCUGGCUGCCAUUCUUUACAGAAAGGGAACAAGCCUUGCAGGUCCUACGAAGACUCUUCCCAGUUGAUCGUGGAUUAUUUGAGGAUAAAGUAGCCAAUAUUUGGUGCAGCUUCAGUGUUUUUCUGAAGAUUAAGGACAUUUUGCCACGACACACUCAGAUAAUAAUCAGCUUUUGUUUUACAUUUUUGAGCUUGCUUCCUGCAUGUAUAAAAUUAAUACUUCAUCCCUCUCCCAGAGGAUUCAGAUUUACUCUGGUUAGCUGUGCAUUAUCAUUCUUUUUAUUUUCUUUCCAAGUACAUGAAAAGUCCGUUCUCUUGGUAUCAUUACCAGUCUGCUUAGUUUUAAAUGAAAUUCCUUUUAUGUCUACUUGGUUUUUACUUGUGUCAACAUUUAGUAUGCUACCUCUUCUAUUAAAGGAUGAGCUCCUAAUGCCCUCCUUUGUGACAGUGAUGGCAUUUUUUAUAGCUUGUGCAACUUUCUUUCCAAUAUUUGAAAAGAUGUCUGAAGAAGAACUGCAGUUAAAAUAUUUUUCCAUUUCUAUAAGGAAAUAUCUUCCACGUUUUACAUUUCUUCCCAGAAUUAUACAACAUUUGCUGAUCAUCCAAUUUCAGUGAUCUUUUAACACUGCAAAGGAAAUAUUUAAAGAAGUCUUAGAUUUGACAUACAUAAAGAAGGCACAUAUUUAAAGGAACAUGCCAGGCUCUCUGUGUGCAAAAUCUGUUCUGUUAAACUGGAAGCCCAGCUGUUGGUGACAAUGCUUAGAAAGGAAAGCCGAAUAUUUAUAAUACUUUAUUUCGUACAGCUGUCUUCUAAAGAGCAAUCAUCAACAUUUUAUUGAAUGCAGACUAAAUGCUCAAAGGAGAAAAAGGUCAGUAUAAAUUAAACUAGCUUUCCCAGUGACAAAUGCAGCAUUAAAAGUACUUUCUUGAUCCCUGAGAAACAGAAAUUAAAUUAUUUGAACUAUUAGAGGUUUGGGAUAUUAUGCAAAAGAUUGUGUUGAAGUACAGAACCCCCCAAAUUUGUAUAGAUUCUAGAAGAUGACUAUUCAAAAAUAACUGGUGACUCAUAAACAUCAUAUAGGAAUAAGAAAAAAAAUGAAAGAGAUGGGUCAAUCUAUGAAAAUUAUUGAGCAGUAAAUAAUAAAUACAAAAAUAAAUAUCUAAAGGUUUACUUAAUUUUGCUAUUAUAUUUACAUAAUUCAAUCACAACAUUAUUUCUUGAGACUAAAUUAUUUUAAAUAAUUGUAUCUUUUAGAAGUCAAUUUAAAUUUGGUUUAGGGGCUGGGGAUAUAGCUCAGUGGUAAGAAACUUGUCUAGAAUGUGUAAGAUCCUGGGUUCAAUUCCUAGCACUGAAAAAAACAAACAAAAACAAUUUAACAAGUAUUCUCAAUGAAGUGAGAACACAAGUAUUAGUAAAUAAAAAUGGCAAAUCAUUUAAAAAAGUAUUUAGCUUUGGAAUAUAUAUAGACCUAUUUAGUACAUGAGGUGUUCUGUUUUUCAUAUUUCAAAAGUAUAAUCAAAAACUAAAAUUAUACAAUGCAGAAUUUUCUUAUUAUUUGUUUUUAAAUGAUGCUAAGAUGCAGCAUCUAAAAGAUGUCCUUUUAGAAAAGAACACAAAGCCUACCCUGAUACUGAUUGUUCAAAAUAUUAUCAUUUUAUAAUCAGUGGUUGAUUUUUAAAGAAAGCAACACAGUGCUUGAACUUAAAAAGAUUUCCAGAUUAGGUCUUAGUGGAUUUAGAAAGCCCAUGGAAAAAUAUAUAAAAGUAAUAAGAAAGUGAGCUGAGUUAAAAUAGGCUGUCAUCUCCCUCUUUAUGUUUGGUGAGAAAUCUAAAAACAUGAUUCAUUCAUUAAGGGUAAUGUACAAUUCAGAUAACUGGGGCAUUUAAUAACCCAAAGUUGGUAAUAUUUAUAAGUACCCUAAAAAGAUUUAAUAGGCAAAACUAGAAUAAAUUUAAGAAAUUGCUUAGUUUGUCUACAGGGAAAAGAAUUUGUGAAACCCAUCUACUGUCACAAUCUCAGUCCUGUGCAUAGUAAAUCUUUGUUGAAUUUUGGGGAGGGAAUUGAAAAACAGGUAAAGAAGGACAAAUCUACCAGAGGAAUUUAUGACCUUAUUCUUACCAUUCUAUUAGAAAUGAACCCUACUGAGAUAACAAUCAUUAAAAUAAGCACCUAUUAUACACAGGCACUCCUCUACCCAUGAACAAUUAUAAUAUAAGGAUGAGAUGAUGCUACAUGAAUUAGGAUGAUGUUAAUAAAAAUAUACGAGACAGAAAAAAUAUAAAGGAAGAAUAAGCAAAAAUUUGAUUAAAUAUGAGAGAAAUAUUUUUCUAAAAUAUGUAUUUCUUUCCUACCAUUAUUACUUAACAAUUACAAGUGAUAUAUUUCUGGUAGUCCUGUAAAGUUAUAUCUGGUUCCUGUGACUACUAUCUUGGUUUAAAAAAAUGGACACAAAAACAUGGGGAAAGGACUUGAAUUAUACCUUUCUCCAAAGAAGAUAUACACACUACACACACACACACAAGUGGCCAAAAAUCAACAUGAAAAAAUGCUCAACAUCCUUAAUCCUUAGGGAAAUAUAACCCAUGUUCACAAGGAGAUACCCCUUCAUGUCCAUUAGCAUGGCUAUUAUAAAAAAGAAAAUAUCAAAAGCUGUAAGGAUAUGGAGAAAUCAGAACCUUUGUACAUUGCUGACUGGAAUGUUAAAUGGUGCAGCAGCUAUAGAAAACAAUUGGCAGUUCCUCAAAUAAUUAAAAUUAGAAUUACCAUAUGAUCCAGUAAUUCCAUAUUCCAAAAGAAUUAAAAGCCAGAACUUGAGUAAAUAUUCAUAUAACAAUAUUCACAGAAGCAUUAUUGACAGUAGCCAAAAGGCAGAAGCAAUCUAAUGUCCUGUGACAGUUAAAUGGAUAAAUAAAAUGUAUCAUUCAUACACACACACACACACACACACACACACACACACACACAAUAGAAUAUAUUAUUAAGCCUUAAAAGUGAAAGGAAAUUUGGCACAUGCUACAACACAGAUAAACUUUGAAGACACAACUCUAACUAAAAUAAGCCAGUCAUAAAAGAAAAUAUACUGCUUGACUUUACUCAUAUAAGAAUAGUCAAAUUCAUAGAUACAGAAAACAGAAUGGUAGUUGCUAGGAGCCAGAGGAAGGGAGAAAUAGGAAAUUACUGUUAAUGGGUGUAGUUUCAAUUUUGUAAGAUGAAACAAGUUUUGAAGAUGGCUGGUGGUGAUGACUGCACAAAAAUAUAAAUAUACCUCCCUUUUAGGGGUAAUCGUACAUCAUCUGUAGGUAACUUCUCACUCCAAGCUACCCAAAUUUCCCUGUGCCCAUAAUUUAAAUAUUAUAUUCCAUCUUUAGGCACAUUAGGUUUAGACUGACUAAACCUACCAGAAUUAUUGUUGUUGGAAUUCUCAAAAGAUAAAAAAAAUUUUGCAUGCAAUUUUAUAUCAAGAGGAGAGACAGUAACUCUCUUUGUAGAGUUACCAUAAAUUAUUCACUAAGAAGAUCCUCCCCUUUUUAAUUUAGCUUACUACAUGGUAGUACCCUGAGUAAGAUUCUCUGAUUGAUCAGAAUAAAUUGAGUAGAAAAGCUUUAUGUUACUAACAUCAAUUUCAAUAUUAAAGAAAUUAUUCUAGGGGAAAAAAAGCUAUCAUUUGAUUCCUAACCAAGAACCAGAAAUGAACUCUUAGAAGCUCACAAAAUUAUAUGAUUUGAGGUUUUUUUUUUAAAUAGGAGUUUUAAAACAUUAGAUUAAACAUGAUUUUUGAGUGACAGAGCUGAGAGUAGGAAUAGGGGGUGAAGAAUAAACUUAGCAAAGCAGAUAAGACUCAGGGAGCUUUGAUGCUAUGCCAAAUUCUUCUGUAAGGUUGGGCAAAUCACAUAAUCUCACUAAGCUUCAUAAAGUUGAUAAUAAUACUGGCCUGUAAAGUAGUAAGAAAUUUCUGAGUGGAAGAUAAAAAUAUCGCUUAGUAUUUCAGUGCUUCCAUUUACUCCUCACUAUAAUGGACACAAUAAUGUUGCCAGCUACUAACUUCACAAGAGUAUUUAGAGGAUUAUUGAGUAUAAUCAUGAGAUGCUUAGAAAUCCUUUGAUGAAAGGCAAUGGCUAAAUUCACAUCCCAUGUGACUUCUUAAGUAUAAAUUGAGAUAUAUGAAAUGAUUUAUUUUCCAUUCCAAGUACGGGUAAAAAAGGGAGAAGAAUCUUCUAUAACCUUUCUGUUUCAUUCAAGUUUAUGCUCCUUUAUGUUCAAUAUUUCUAAUGAUCACAUAAAAAAUCUCUACCAUGGCAUAGGUGAGGGCAACACCAACCUAUUACAUGCAAAAGUAUGGGCACCAUGUGAAGUAUCUAAGUAAAUGAUUAAUCCUGUUAUUCUUCAUGACAAAAGUUGUCCUGGGCAACAUAUGUUUAUGAUGUCAAAAGAUUAAUGAAAAAAAAUGUUUACAGAAGUCAAAUGAAUACAUUUAGGAAUAUUAACACCAGAGGAUGAAAAAUGAGAUUUUUUUUUGGUUGAAUAAAAUGAGAAAUACAGUUAAGACCAUUUUACUCCUGAAUGGAUAUUCCUUAAUAUGCAAUAAAAUAUUCAUUAACAUUCCUUCUGCAAAAAGUUUACAUAUACUAUAGAUAAUUUGUACAUGUAGAUUAUAUGUACCUACAAAUGAAGAAAGGAUAUAAGUUUGCCCUUUAGAGGAGUUUCCAUUGAAAGGGCUCAACUAGGUCUAACAGAAUUAAAACAUGACAGAUGGGUGAUAUUUUAUGUACUUUUCUGUAUGAAUUUUUAUUCUACAACAUAAAAAUAAUCAUAAAAAACUACUGCUAAUGUCUACCCUAUUUCUGAGACUUCAACACAAUCAUCUUAAGAAGUUUUAUCUGGUGCUGUCUAGUUUGCAGUCAAUAGCAGCUGUUCAUGACCCUUUUACUAAACUUAUGUUAAAAUAAUCUAUGUGUUUUUCCUAGCUAGACUAAAUUAUUUACAUUAUUAAUACCUCGUCAGUUAAAUGAUGGGUUAUGAGUUCUAAAAAUGCUUAUUGAACUAUCUUUUCCAUUAAAAUUAAUACUAGGUAGUACAGUAUUUGUUCAUGUUUGGAACCCCAAAGUGCAACGGAACAAAGGUAUCAUAUAAAUUAAUCAUUUAAAUAAUUGCUUUUAUUUUUAUCUAAAACUUAGUCUCAAAGAAACAAAUAUUUAGCUUUUGCAAAUUUUUAUGUGCUUAACAUAAAUAAUUCUAAUCCAUAAUUUCCUCAAAUAUUCCCUCUCCUCCAUUAUGCUUUUCUAAGUCUUAAAUUACUAAAGAGAAAAUUAUUUUUAGCCUUUAUGUUUGAUAUCUCUAGCCUCCUUUUUCAUAUUAUUGUUCUUUAUGCAUUUUGGACAAUUUCUUUAGAUUUAUCUUCCAGUUCUCUAAUUCCUUCUUCAGUUGUGUCUAACCUAC